GGUGCAGCUGCAGGAGUGGGGCCCAGGACUGGUGAAGCCUUCGGAGACCCUGUCCCUCACAUGCGCUGUCUCUGGUGACUCCAUCAGCAGUGGUAACUGGUGGAGCUGGGUCCGCCAGUCCCCAGGGAAGGGGCUGGAAUGGAUUGGAUACAUCUAUUAUAGUGGGAGGAGCUACUACACCCCGUCCCUCAGGAGUUGAGUCACCAUGUCAAUAGAAACGUCCAAGAACCAGUUUUCCCUGAAGCUGAGCUCUGUG
RNAcentral lists this long non-coding RNA (256 nucleotides) under Homo sapiens (human). RNAcentral's name for it is "non-protein coding lnc-BRF1-77:1". The record is from RNAcentral. Lineage: Eukaryota; Metazoa; Chordata; Mammalia; Primates; Hominidae.